This 264-nucleotide ribosomal RNA is filed under the name uncultured archaeon. Its description in RNAcentral is "partial 16S ribosomal RNA". It matches the Rfam family "Archaeal small subunit ribosomal RNA", at positions 748 to 1009 of the family's 1478-position model. The record is from RNAcentral.
UAGCCGUAAACGAUACUCGCUAGGUGUCGGCCACGGUGCGACCGUUGUCGGUGCCGUAGGGAAGCCGUGAAGCGAGCCACCUGGGAAGUACGGCCGCAAGGCUGAAACUUAAAGGAAUUGGCGGGGGAGGCACCACAACGGGUGGAGCUUGCGGUUUAAUUUGGAUUCAACGCCGGACAACUCACCAGGAGCGACGGUUACAUGAAGGCCAGGCUGAUGACCUUGCCUGAUUUUCCGUAGAGGUGGUGCAUGGCGUAGUCGUGU